Xiphophorus couchianus (Monterrey platyfish) is the source of this 1568-nucleotide long non-coding RNA. RefSeq lists it as uncharacterized. The transcript has 4 exons. NCBI's taxonomy places the organism in Eukaryota, Metazoa, Chordata, Actinopteri, Cyprinodontiformes, Poeciliidae. The record is from RefSeq and is a predicted model, not a curated record.
AGAAGCAGGCGGACGUCUAAAAACACAAAGGGCAGUGUGCCUUGAGAAACUGGCCUAAAUUCAAUUAGACGUCAUACUCUGCAACUAAUUAGUGUGAUGUGACAAAAUCUGAGAAGUUCUAACAGAUCGCAGCACACUGCAGAAGGAAAUCAAUCAUGUCUACUGCCAUGUUUAGCUGAAGGAAACAUGUAAAUAAUCUGUUUAAGGUGCAGUCCUGGCAAACGGGGAGAUGGCAGAGUGAGUGUGUUUGUUUGGAGGCAGGAGGAGGAGGUCACCUGCUGUUGAUGGUUGGCACUCAACAUUAGAGCAAACGGAUGACGUCAACCUAGACCCUCUACCUCCUGUGGACUGCGUGUUCGGAGAACCUUUCAUCUCCGGAAACAACACCUCUUCCACAAAGCUGGCCUCACAGAGCCCGACGCCGGAACCGAGGGCUCUUUCUGUCCAUCCUGCCUCCCCAUCUGCAGCGCUGUCAAUAAUUAUUGAAGUUUCUGUUAACGACUUCCAGAUUACAGCUCGGCUGAAGCGCUGUGGAGGAGAGAGAGAGUCUGAAACUGUGACUUAGUCGGAUGUGUUGGUACUGUACGGUUGAGGGCUCCUCCUGGAUCCCAUCACGAGAGGAUUAUAGAGGAAAAGGGCAACUGGGAUUGCUUGGAGAGCCGACCCCUUCCACUCGAGCCAGCACUCAAGCAGGGAUGAAGUGGAGGUGCAGAGACGACCCAGAGGGAAAGAGCACAGAGGGAAGGGAAAGGCAGGGAGGUGGCAUACUUUGGAUUCCCAAUAUGUGUCCGGGGAAUCCGAUGUGAGGCCAGAUGGCACGGGCCUGCCGGUCUUUGGGAAUCGCAGCAUACGGCUGUGGGAUGCGAGGCAGAAGGUAGCGAGGAAACGGUGCCGGGGUCAGCUCUUGAUGUUGGACGCUCCCCGGAGCUGUUCCUUUCCCAUCCCUUUGAACAAGAGAGCAUCUCCACACAACUGUGCCGCUUCUCUCUGCUUAAUGCGACGGUUUGACUUCAAACACAGCGCUAUUCCCCCCUGCCCAGAGCCUCCUGAGUUCCAAACAUAUGUUAUCAGACCUGAUGAAAACACCGUGCCAAUAACAUGCCACUGAGCUCCACGCUCGGGCAUAUGUGUGCCGUUUUCAUCUCGCACAAUUCCACGUGAUAACGCCAAAACAAACCGAUGCAACGCUCGCCGUACCGACCUGCUUUUCCGUUCAGACGACCAGGAUAGGAUGGAAGUCAAUUACGCCUGUCGACUCUCUUAGACAGAUGUCCAGCGUAACCUGGUUAGUGCUAAUAGGCAGGUUUUUAAACAAGAGCAAUUAUUCUUCCUCGCAGACCAGCAAAAGAGACGGAUGUUAAUAUCUGAUGCUGAAUGUGUGUGACAGGUGUUGCCUCCAAUUUCUCCAAGUCUCUCGUGGCAGCCCACUCUGUGAAAACAUCCGAAAACAGGCUUUCAGCCAACAUUGCAGAGAUCGCACACAUUUUUAGCACAUACUCUUUGACUUCGGGAAAGAAGGGGGGGGGGGGAAACAUGUGCAUGUGUGCAAUGAUCAUCUCUUACUAUUU